CGAAGCUUUGUACCCCAGGGGCCCCAAAACUCCCGAUCUCGGAGUCUACGGUGGCGCCAACCUUCACCCAUUCACUUGAGCGGGUAACUCCGUUCCCUUGGUGUCCUUGGGACCAUGAUUAUUGCUGUUUAGGUUGGAUGUAGCAGGAGCCUCGGUGACAUGCGACCGGUUAACAUGGCGGUCAGGCCCCGCCCCCGUUACCAUAUAUUUUUAC
Non-coding RNA from Pelobates cultripes (western spadefoot toad), 214 nucleotides. Lineage: Eukaryota; Metazoa; Chordata; Amphibia; Anura; Pelobatidae. The record is from the annotation of a GenBank genome assembly.